AUUUAUCAAUUGUCACUUUCAUGUCAACCACAUAUGAGGGUCAUUUUUUAUUAUGUAGGCCAUGCCAUGCCUUUUCCAAAUUUUAAUAUCUAUAAUUGUUAUGUCAUCUUUCACUCUUAAUUUUAAUUAAUAUAUUUCCUGUCCUGAUAAAGAGACUAACCAGUCAUGAAAAUUUGCCUUUGAAGUAAACUAAUGUAACCUGCAUGAGUGUCUGGAAGCCGAUACCCAAUAAUUUAACUAACGUGUAUUGACUGCAAUAAUUCAUUGAAAUCGUCUCUCAUUGCAUCAAUCACUUUACUUGAUAGGUACUCUCAUUGAAUAAGUAUUACUUAUUUAAUGGUAUACUAUACACUAGGGAUGUAACGGAGCUUCGGUUCCGAUUCCGAAAGAGCGAAACUUCCGAUUAAUUUUGCACUUUCGAUUCCGAUUUCGGUUCCGACAAAUUUUAAUCCGAUGUUAUAUCGGAGGUUUAUGGACAGGGUCGGUGCUGCCACAAUUAGUGCGUUUGCGUACAAAUAUGUUUAUACUUGUGGCGUGGGGAACUCAUGCCUUCUGUUGAUUACCUUUGCACUUGUGUUCCUUGAGUAUAAUUUACUUCUUAUCGAGUCACUUAAUUUGUUCUAUUUACAUAUUGGUAUUGUAAUUUAAGAUGUGACAUGUCUCUUCUUUAAUGUUCCGAUUUCGGUUCCGAUAAACCAAAUUGAAAAAGUCCGCUUCCGAAUUCGGUUCCGAUACAACUGCUUCCGUUACAUCCCUACUAUACACUAUGACCGUUGAGUGAAGGAUCUAUCCUUCACUCAACGCUAUGACUAUAACUCUCGCAAGGAAAGAUUGCCGGUCACAGAACACUUGAUCCCGAUCUACAAUCUCUGUUUUUCGUAAGGUGCUAGCGACUUCCGGGAAAGUAUCGUGUCAAUGUUGAACGAAAAGACUUUUUGUUCAACAUUAGCACGAUCCUAUUCCAGAAGUCGCUCGCAUCUUAAUAAAAACAAAGAUUGUAAAUCGACGCACGGUGUGCUGUGACCAGCAAUCUUUCCUGGCGAGAGUUAUAUACGAAUUUAUAGCCAUACCGAUUUUAUGAAGAGACCAAAGCAGAACAGAUUUAUUUUAUGAAUUGAAUCUUUUUUUUUGUUUCCAAGAUGAGGAACGUUAGCAAUAACUGAUAUACCUCAUGUAUAAUUGUUACACAAAGAUCGAUUUAAACCGUUUUUAAAGGAAGGUUUGCAGUUGAAAUAUAAAGGGAGCGUUCGUUUAGGAAUAAAUUGUUUCAUGAAAACUUUUGUAUGUUUAAAUAGAAGUUUGUACUCGAAAUAA
Long non-coding RNA from Photinus pyralis (common eastern firefly), 1314 nucleotides. RefSeq lists it as uncharacterized. NCBI's taxonomy places the organism in Eukaryota, Metazoa, Arthropoda, Insecta, Coleoptera, Lampyridae. The record is from RefSeq and is a predicted model, not a curated record. The transcript has 2 exons.